GGUCAAGAAACUAAGGGCGCAAGGCGGAUGCCUUGGCACCAGGAGGCGAAGAAGGACGUGACAAGCAACGAAAACCUCGAAUAGGAGCAAAUAUCCAGUAACUCGGGGGAAUCCGAAUGGGGAAACCUACUAGACACACUCUAGUAUCCAUACGUAAAUACAUAGCGUAUGGAGGCGAAUGUUCUGAACUGAAACAUCUAAGUAGGAACAAGAAAAGAAAGAAAACUCGAUUCUCCAAGUAGCGGCGAGCGAACAGAGAACAGCCCAUUAAAGUAAGACUAAACUGAUAGACAAAUCUUAUGGAAAGAAGAACCAAAGAAAGUAACAGUCUUGUAGUCGAAAUCAGAAUAGAGACACUUUAAGAAGAGUACCACGGAGCACGUGAAAUUCUGUGGGAAGAUAGGGGGACCACCCCCUAAGGCUAAAUACUACCUGGUGACCGAUAGCGAAUAGUACCGUGAGGGAAAGGUGAAAAGAACCCCGGGAGGGGAGUGAAACAGAACCUGAAACCUUGCGCCUACAAGCAGACAGAGGAAGAAGACUUCUAAUGUCGUACUUUUUGUAGAACGGGCCAGCGAGUUACGAUACGUAGCAAGAUUAAACAUUUAAGAUGUGAAGUCGCAGGGAAACCGAGUCUUAAUAGGGCGAAAGUUGCGUGUUGUAGACCCGAAACCGGGUGAUCUAUCCAUGGGCAGAGUGAAGGUAAAGUAAAAUUUACUGGAGGCUCGAACCGGGUAGCGUUUAAAAGCUAUCGGAUGACCUGUGGAUAGGGGUGAAAAGCCAAUCGAACUCGGAUAUAGCUGGUUCUCCUCGAAAUAGCUUUAGGGCUAGCCUUGUUUUAGAUUACAGGAGGUAGAGCACUGAAUAGUCUAGGGGAAGUAAUUCUACCGAAACUUAUCAAACUCCGAAUGCCUGAAAAUCGAUGAACAGGAGUCAGACCAUGAGGGAUAAGCUUCAUAGUCAAAAGGGAAACAGCCCAGACCACCAGUUAAGGUCCCAAAAUACAGAUUAAGUGGGAAAGGAUGUAAUACUACUCAGACAACCAGGAUGUUGGCUCAGAAGCAGCCAUACAUUUAAAGAGUGCGUAAUAGCUCACUGGUCAAGUGGUAAUGCGCCGAAGAUGAACGGGGCUAAAUCUGAUACCGAAACUGUGGGAUAGAAAAGCAAUUAUGCGAGAAGUAUGAAGUAAAAGUGAUUAGGAAAUAUAUCAACUAGUAAAGUAAGAGAGAAAGACAUUAAAUAAAACUAUUAAACGAUACAAUUUCUAAAACACUUAACAACAUACAACUGGCAUAAUAGCUUUUCUAUCGGUAGAGGAGCGUUGUAUAUGAAUUGAAGCAAAAAGCGUAAGCAAUUGUGGAUUAUAUACAAGUGAGAAUGCUGGCAUGAGUAGCGAAAAGGGAUGUGAGAAUCAUCCCCGUCGAAAGCCCAAGGAUUCCUGAGCAAGGCUCGUCCUCUCAGGGUAAGUCGGGACCUAAGGCGAGGCCGAAAGGCGUAGUCGAUGGACAACAGGUAGAAAUUCCUGUACUACAAGAUUGUGAUUGAGAGAAGUACUGACGCAGAAGGAAAAGUCGAGCGUGUGAAUGGUAGAACACGUCCAAGUAACAAGCCAGAAUAUACAGGCAAAUCCGUAUAUUCGUUAACGUAAGUUAUCAUGGGGAGCAGAAAGAUGCGAAGCGACAGAUUCAAACUGCCAAGAAAAGGUGCUAUCGAAUAAUCUUGUACCCGUACCGCAAACCGACACAGGUAGGCAAGAAGAGAAUUCUAAGACGCGCGGAAGAACCUUUGUUAAGGAACUCGGCAAAAUAAUCCCGUAAGUUAGCGAGAAGGGAUGCCUAAGAAAUUAGGUCGCAGAGAAUAGGCCCAAGCGACUGUUUACCAAAAACACAAGUAUCUGCUAAAUCGAAAGAUGAAGUAUAGGUGCUGACACCUGCCCGGUGCUGGAAGGUCAAGGGGACUUGUUAGAGCAAUCGAAGCAACGAACUUAAGCCCCAGUAAACGGCGGCCGUAACUAUAACGGUCCUAAGGUAGCGAAAUUCCUUGUCGGGUAAGUUCCGACCCGCACGAAAGGUGUAACGA
Molecule: ribosomal RNA, 2079 nt
Filed under: Enterococcus faecalis
Lineage: Bacteria; Bacillati; Bacillota; Bacilli; Lactobacillales; Enterococcaceae
Description: partial 23S ribosomal RNA
Rfam family: Bacterial large subunit ribosomal RNA
Source: RNAcentral